GAAGCGCGAUAUGUAGUGUGAAUUGCAGAUCUGUGAAUCAUCGAAAUUUUGAACGCAUAUGGCGGUGCCUACGCAAGUGGGCACCAUGCCUGGCUGAGUUUCAUUAUCUUUCUCAUUCUUCAAUCUCCUUGUGAGUAUUGUUCGAGUGGAUAAUGAGUGUUACGCUUGUCAUUGCGUAUCACUUAAAACACAGAAGUUGGGGAUUUAUGCAGUCGCAUACCAAACAUCACUGACGUAGUGAAUUUUCUCUCGUCAUGGAUGGUGACUGCGCUUUAGAUCCUAGACUCUACAGGAUGAAGACGUAACGAGCACGGUGCGCUAGCUACUGCGGCACGGACAAGUCUUUUCAUACUAAGUUUGAACUCAGAUCAGGCAGGAUUACCCGCUGAAUUUAA
Molecule: unclassified non-coding RNA, 395 nt
Filed under: uncultured fungus
Lineage: Eukaryota; Fungi
Description: sequence contains ITS1
Rfam family: 5.8S ribosomal RNA (bases 1-103)
Source: RNAcentral